This 254-nucleotide ribosomal RNA is filed under the name uncultured bacterium. Its description in RNAcentral is "partial 16S ribosomal RNA". It matches the Rfam family "Bacterial small subunit ribosomal RNA", at positions 524 to 776 of the family's 1533-position model. The record is from RNAcentral.
UACAGAGGUCCCAAGCGUUGUUCGGAUUCAUUGGGCGUAAAGAGCUCGUAGGCGGCUUGGUAAGUCGGAUGUGAAACCUCCAGGCUCAACCUGGAGUCGCCAUCCGAUACUGCCAUGGCUAGAGUCCGGUAGGGGCCCACGGAAUUCCUGGUGUAGCGGUGAAAUGCGCAGAUAUCAGGAGGAACACCGAUGGCGAAGGCAGUGGGCUGGGCCGGCACUGACGCUGAGGAGCGAAAGCGUGGGGAGCGAACAGG